Molecule: small RNA, 564 nt
Filed under: Pongo abelii (Sumatran orangutan)
Lineage: Eukaryota; Metazoa; Chordata; Mammalia; Primates; Hominidae
Description: retained intron
Source: RNAcentral
AGCAGUUGGAGCUGGUGCACAGGAAGGAUGAGGAAGACCAGGCUCUGGGGGCUGCUGUGGAUGUUCUUUGUCUCAGAACUCCUAGCUGCAACUAAAUUAACUGAGGAAAAGUAUGAACUGAAAGAGGGGCAGACCCUGGAUGUGAAAUGUGACUACAUGCUAGAGAAGUUUGCCAGCAGCCGGAAAGCUUGGCAGAUAAUAAGGGACGGAGAGAUGCCCCAGACCCUGGCAUGCACAGAGAGGCCUUCCCAUCCAGUCCAAGUGGGGAGGAUCAUACUAGAAGACUACCAUGAUCAUGGUUUACUGCACGUCCGAAUGACCAACCUUCAAGUGGAAGACUCUGGACUGUAUCAGUGUGUGAUCUACCAGCCUCCCAAGGAACCUCACGUGCUGUUCGAUCGCAUCCGCUUGGUGGUGACCAAGGGUGAGUGGCCUGGGAUUGGGGGGGGAGAAAGGCCAGGUGAGGAAAGGGGCAGUGGUGGUAGCAUCAGCAGAGCUGGGGUUCAGGAUUCCCAGCAGUCUGUCUUCCUCCCAGGACCUCCUUAUCUCUCAUCUAAGGUCCAG